UUGGACGGUCAUAGCAGGUUGGUUACACCCGAUCCCAUUUCGAACUCGGAUUGAGUCUUGGAACUUGGCUCACGAGAGAGUUAAGCAACCUCACGUUUCAAGCUGUACUGUACUUAUGUACGGGAAACUUGAUUAGCUGUCCACC
This 145-nucleotide ribosomal RNA is filed under the name Candidatus Woesearchaeota archaeon. The record is from RNAcentral. Lineage: Archaea; Nanobdellati; Candidatus Woesearchaeota.